AUACGUAGGGGACGAGCGUUGUCCGGAAUUACUGGGCGUAAAGGGCGCGCAGGCGGAUAUUUAAGUCAGCUGUAAAAGGCAUGAGCUCAACUCAUGUAUGCGGUUGAAACUGGGUAUCUAGAGUGCUGGAGAGGUAGGCGGAAUUCCCGGUGCAGCGGUGAAAUGCGUAGAUAUCGGGAAGAACACCAGUGGCGAAGGCGGCUUACUGGCCAGCAACUGACGCUGAGGCGCGAAAGCCAGGGGAGCGAACGGGAUUAGAUACCCCGGUAGUCCUGGCCGUAAACGAUGAAUGCUAGGUGUGGGUGUCGAGAGGCAUCCGUGCCGGAGUUAACGCGAUAAGCAUUCCGCCUGGGGAGUACGAUCGCAAGAUUGAAACUCAAAGGAAUUGACGGGG
Molecule: ribosomal RNA, 394 nt
Filed under: uncultured bacterium
Lineage: Bacteria
Description: partial 16S ribosomal RNA
Rfam family: Bacterial small subunit ribosomal RNA
Source: RNAcentral